GACGAACGCUGGCGGCGUGCUUAACACAUGCAAGUCGAACGGAAAGGCCCUGCUUUUGUGGGGUGCUCGAGUGGCGAACGGGUGAGUAACACGUGAGUAACCUGCCCUUGACUUUGGGAUAACUUCAGGAAACUGGGGCUAAUACCGGAUAGGAGCUCCUGCUGCAUGGUGGGGGUUGGAAAGUUUCGGCGGUUGGGGUUGGACUCGCGGCUUAUCAGCUUGUUGUUGAGGUUGUGGUUUACCAAGGCUUUGACGGGUAGCCGGCCUGAGAGGGUGACCGGCCACAGUGGGACUGAGAUACGGCCCAGACUCCUACGGGAGGCAGCAGUGGGGAAUAUUGCACAAUGGGCGGAAGCCGGAUGCAGCAACGCCGCGUGCGGGAUGACGGCCUUCGGGGUGUAAACCGCUUGCGCCUGGGACGAAGCGUGAGUGACGGUAAUGGGUAAAGAAGCACCGGCUAACUACGUG
This 468-nucleotide ribosomal RNA is filed under the name uncultured bacterium. RNAcentral's name for it is "partial 16S ribosomal RNA". It matches the Rfam family "Bacterial small subunit ribosomal RNA", at positions 28 to 507 of the family's 1533-position model. The record is from RNAcentral.